GUUGCUAUGGUAUCCGGGUUGGUUGCUAAGGUGUUGCUAGGUGGUUGCUAAGGUGUUGCUAUGGUAUCCAGGGUGGUUGCUAAGGUGUUGCUAGGUGGUUGCUAGGGUGUUGCUAGGCGGUUGCUAUGGUAUCCAGGGUGGUUGCUAAGGUGUUGCUUGGUGGUUGCUAAGGUGUUGCUAGGUGGUGGCUAUGGUGUUGCUAUGGUAUCCGGGGUGGUUGCUAAGGUGUUGCUAGGUGGUUGCUAAGGUGUUGCUAUGGUAUCCAGGGUGGUUGCUAAGGUGUUGCUAGGUGGUUGCUAGGUGGUUGCUAGGGUGUUGCUAGGUGGUUGCUAAGGUGUUGAUUUGGUAUCCAGGGUGGUUGCUAAGGUAUUGCUAGGUGGUUGCUAAGAUGUUGCUAUGGUAUCUGGGGUGGUUGCUAAGGUGUUGCUAGGUGUAUCUAACUGGUCGCUAGGCAGUUGCUACCAUUUCUAAAGUGGUUGCUAAGCAGUUGCUAGGCAGUUGCUAACGUUUUCCAGGUGGUUGCUAAGGUGUUGCUAUCUGGUUGCUAGGCAGUUGCUAACGUAUUACACAUGGUUGCUAAGUGGUUGCUAGGCAGUUGCUAAUGUUUUCCAGGUGGUUGCUAAGGUGUAUCUAACUGGUUCCUAGGCAGUAGUAGAUAAAAAGAAAGAGUGUUAAAUGUAGAAGUACAGAAAAAGGGAGAGCCUGAAAUAGAGAAGUAGAGAGAAAAUCAGCGUGAGAAGUAAAGAAAGAACACCCGAGAAUGUGAGAAAAAGAGUGACAAGUAGAGAGAAAUAUUGAGCGAGAGAAAGAGAAUUAGGGAAAAAGAGAGAUCGAGAAAUAAAGAAGUAGAGAAAGAAAGAGGAUGUAGUAGAGAGAUAGAUAGAAAGAGAAAGCAAGACAGAAAAGUAGAGUGAAAGAGAAGUAGAGAGAAGAGCGAGAAAUAAAGAGAGAGUAAGAGAGAAAUAGAGAAAUAGAAAAGUAGAAAGAAAGAGACAUAGAAAAGUAGAGAGAGUGAGAAAGAGAGAGUGAGAAAUAGAGAAGUAGAGAGAGAGUGAGAAAGAGAGAGUGAGAAAUAGAGAAGUAGAGAGAGUGAGAAAUAGAGACGUAGAGAGAGAGUGAGAAAGAGAGUGAGAAAUAGAGAAGUAGAGAGAGAAUGAGAAAUAGAGACGUAGAGAGAGAGUGAAAAAGAGAGUGAGAAAUAUAGAAGUAGAGAGAGUGAGAAAUAAAGAGAAAUAGAGACGUAGAGAGAGAGUGAAAAAGAGAGUGAGAAAUAUAGAAGUAGAGAGAGUGAGAAAUAUAGAAGUAGAGAGAGAGAGUGAGAAAUAGAGACGUAGAGAGAGAGUGAGAAAUAGAGACGUAGAGAGAGAGUGAGAAAGAGUGAGAAAUAGAGAAGUAGAGAGAGUGAGAAAUAGAGACGUAGAAAAGAGUGAGAAAGAGAGAGUGAGAAAUAGAGAAGAAGAGAGAGAGUGAGAAAUAGAGACG
Long non-coding RNA from Astyanax mexicanus (Mexican tetra), 1482 nucleotides. RefSeq lists it as uncharacterized. NCBI's taxonomy places the organism in Eukaryota, Metazoa, Chordata, Actinopteri, Characiformes, Acestrorhamphidae. The record is from RefSeq and is a predicted model, not a curated record. The transcript is spliced from 2 exons.